This 408-nucleotide ribosomal RNA is filed under the name uncultured bacterium. RNAcentral describes it as "partial 16S ribosomal RNA". It matches the Rfam family "Bacterial small subunit ribosomal RNA", at positions 28 to 526 of the family's 1533-position model. The record is from RNAcentral.
AUUGAACGCUGGCGGCAGGCCUAACACAUGCAAGUCGAGCGGAGCGGCGGACGGGUGAGUAACACGUGGGUGACCUGCCCUGCACUUCGGGAUAAGCCUGGGAAACUGGGUCUAAUACCGGAUAGUGUGGGAUGGGCCCGCGGCCUAUCAGCUUGUUGGUGGGGUAAUGGCCUACCAAGGCGGCGACGGGUAGCCGGCCUGAGAGGGUGGACGGCCACAUUGGGGCUGAGGCACGGCCCAGACGCCUACGGGGGGCAGCAGGGGGGAAUAUUGCGCAAUGGGCGGAAGCAUGAUGCAGCGACGCCGCGUGGGGGAUGACGGCCUUCGGGUUGUAAACUCCUUUCACCAUCGACGCGGUAGAUGGAGAAGAAGCACCGGCUAACUACGUGCCAGCAGCCGCGGUAAUAC